UUUACUUUGAAAAAGUCACCUGUUGAUGAAGUGAAAAGGAAAUAAACGGAGAUGUGGGUGGAAGAAGUGCCGCAAUGGAUGAUCGAAUUGGGAUGUGAAUCCUGGUAGUCGGUGUGGGCCCCCGUGUCUCAUUUUGUAAAAUGUUCACGAGGAGAGUAUCCCGUUACUUGGUUUGUGCUUGUGACUCGAUCUUCAUUUGUCAAUAUCGCAGGUAUCGGAGGAGAAUCAAGAUGUGAACGACAACGGUGCGUACGGUUCCCGUUACUUGGCAACAACCGGAAUUAAAUUAGUAAAAUUGGCAAGAUCCGUUUGGACUUGGAAUGUACGUUCUGAAAUUACUCAAAGCUGCGGGGGGAAAACUGAAAUGGACUCCAAAAAGAUAAACUGACGCAGUGGAAUUGUUUGUAAAGCAGAGAAACGUAGGUCUAGAGCGUAACAAAUGGAGUUUUAACGAAAUAAUGCAGAAUUGACGGAGUUUCGACCGUAAGUACCAGCAUUUCGAUGAAAUUGUCACAAUCGUAGCACAGUGUUCUGCAAGCCUGUGGUCAUUCGACUGUAUAUUAGCACGUUGGCUGCCACAGGUACAGCCGACUGUCGUAGGAGAUAGUAUUUCAUGACGCAGGUUGUACACAUGGGGUGACCGUUUAACAAAAGUUUUUAGACUUUAAACGACUAUCACUUCGCCAUCAUUGAGACCUACAGCACCACCAAGUAAACAAGUCUCUCAGAAAAUAUGCGAACUAAUUUAGAAAAGCAGGCGUGUACAGUCCGUAAAAAAUGUGAUAGUUGCGCCAAUUUUAUCCGUACGGCAAGAAAAGAGAAACAAACCUCUGCAAUUGUGCAUUCCGAAGCCAGAAAUGUUAUUAAAAGGGUCGUGGAAUUCUUCGGCAAAGAGAAAGCUGCCGGUGUGUAGAUAUUUCCUUUGGGAAAGGGUGCUAGCUGCUGCUGCGACCGGCAAACCAACGAAAUUCAUAACCAAGAUUAGAUCGAAGUCAAACUUGCCGAUGAUAGGACAUGGAAAUUUCCAUCAAAGACGCAACGAAGUGCAACUUCCUACAAAAUAACAUUGGAUAAUUCUCAUUUAGGCGUAUUGAAGAAUGCAAUUUAUAUGAUCCAUAACAAAGUCUCUACAAUAAAUAAUUUAGUUAAUAAAAUGAAGAAGCGAAAAUUGACUGCAUUGGAGGUAAAGAUCACAUUUUUUGACGAAACCUACGUCCAUCCAUUUAAUGGAGUGCUUGCUAACAGAAGAAGAACCUGGUGUAUAUAAAACUGACUGAAGCAGGAUGAAAUAAAUUGGGUACAGCUCAUCAUCAAAUCGAAAAGUAUAAGUCUGGAUACGACAUAAUCCACAUUAAGAGAUUGGAAGAAUCAACUUGGCAACGCCAUGGAUUGUUAGAUGAAGCUGUAGAAAGUUUAUCUUUCACGGUAAUCACUGGCACAUCAAGCGAAGGUUCUGAAAUCAGUGAGGAAGAAAGUGACGACGAUAGCGUUUAAUUAGUUUUAAAUACGCACUGCUUUGUCAUUAGUAGUACCAUUUUAUACAAUGGUAGUACUUAGGUAACUAUUUUGUUAUUUCGAUUUAUAAUUCUUGUAUUAAAUUUCUUUCUCCAGUUUCCAAACGUAGCUACAUUAAAAAA
Molecule: long non-coding RNA, 1637 nt
Organism: Photinus pyralis (common eastern firefly)
Lineage: Eukaryota; Metazoa; Arthropoda; Insecta; Coleoptera; Lampyridae
Exons: 3
Source: RefSeq, a predicted model, not a curated record